UUACGGUCAAAUCACGCUGAAAACACCGGUUCUAGUUCGAUCACCGAAGUUAAGCAUCGUAGAGCCAGGUCAGUACUUAGAUGGGGGGACCGCUUGGGAACACCA
This 105-nucleotide ribosomal RNA is filed under the name Acanthosepion pharaonis. The record is from RNAcentral. Lineage: Eukaryota; Metazoa; Mollusca; Cephalopoda; Sepiida; Sepiidae.